RNAcentral lists this unclassified non-coding RNA (650 nucleotides) under Hevea brasiliensis (rubber tree). Lineage: Eukaryota; Viridiplantae; Streptophyta; Magnoliopsida; Malpighiales; Euphorbiaceae. The record is from RNAcentral.
GGGAGUUUUUUUUUUUAUCGGAGCUGAAGUGAAGAACUAUGGAGCUACAGAACACAGUUAAAGAAGCCCUAAAUGCACUGUAUCAUCAUCCAGAUGACGGCGUUCGAAUGCAGGCCGAUCGAUGGCUACAGGAUUUUCAACGAACUAUUGAUGCUUGGCAGGUGGCUGAUAAUCUGCUUCAUGAUGCAUCUAGCAAUCAAGAAACUUUAAUAUUCUGUUCUCAAACUCUCAGAAGCAAGGUUCAACGGGAUUUUGAAGAACUACCUUCUGAAGCUUUUCGUCCGCUACGGGAUUCUCUGAAUACCUUGUUGAAAACAUUUCAUAAUGGUCCCCCAAAAGUUAGAACACAGAUUAGUCUUGCAGUGGCUGCUUUGGCUGUUCAUGUGCCUGCAGAUGAUUGGGGAGAUGGUGGUCUUAUAAACUGGCUUAGGGAUGAAAUGAAUUCUCAUCCCGAGUUUAUACCGAGUUUUCUGGAACUUCUUAGAGUUUUGCCUGAGGAGGAAUUCAACUACAAGAUAGCUGCUCGACCAGAUAGGCGACGCCAGUUUGAAAAAGAGCUUGCUUCUGCUAUUGAUACCGCACUUAAUAUCUUGACUGCCUGUUUGAAUAUCAAUGAACUUAAGGAACAGGUUCUUGAGGCAUUUGCUUCU